This 292-nucleotide ribosomal RNA is filed under the name uncultured Bacteroidota bacterium. RNAcentral's name for it is "uncultured Bacteroidetes bacterium partial 16S ribosomal RNA". Lineage: Bacteria; Pseudomonadati; Bacteroidota. The record is from RNAcentral.
GGACUACCGGGGUUUCUAAUCCUGUUUGAUCCCCACGCUUUCGUGCCUCAGUGUCAAUGCAGGCAUAGUGAACUGCCUUCGCAAUCGGUGUUCUAAUACAUCUCUAAGCAUUUCACCGCUACAUGUAUUAUUCCAUCCACCUCUACCUGAUUCAAGCUAAGCAGUAUCAAUGGCAGUUCCGGAGUUGAGCUCCGGGCUUUCACCACUGACUUACAAAGCCACCUACGCACCCUUUAAACCCAGUGAAUCCGGAUAACGCUUGCACCCUCCGUAUUACCGCGGCUGCUGGCAC